Molecule: RNA transcript, 1182 nt
Organism: Cebus imitator (Panamanian white-faced capuchin)
Lineage: Eukaryota; Metazoa; Chordata; Mammalia; Primates; Cebidae
Gene name: elongation factor 1-alpha 1-like
Exons: 3
Source: RefSeq, a predicted model, not a curated record
CCCCUAAAAGCCAAAAUGGGAAAGGAAAAGACUCGUAUCAACAUUGUCAUCAUUGGACAUGUAGAUUCGGGCAAGUCCACCACUACUGGUCAUCUAAUCUACAAAUGCAGUGACAUCGACAAAAGAGCCAUUGAAAAAUUUGAAAAGGAGGCUGCUGAGAUGGGAAAGGGCUCCUUCAAGUAUUCCUGGGUCUUGGAUAAACUGAAAGCCAGGCAUGAACGUGGUAUCACCAUUGAUAUCUCCUUGUGGAAAUUCGAGACCAGCAAGUACUACGUGACUAUCAUUGAUGCCCCAGGACACAGCGACUUCAUCAAAAACAUGAUUACAGGGACAUCUCAGGCUGACUGUGCUGUCCUGAUAGUCGCUGCUGGUGUUGGUGAAUUUGAAGCUAGUAUCUCCAAGAACGGGCAGACCUGAGAGCAUGCCCUCCUGGCUUACACUCUAGGUGUGAAACAACUAAUUGUUGGUGUUAACAAAAUGGAUUCCACUGAGCCACCCUACAGCCAGAAGAGAUAUGAAGAAAUCGUUAAGGAAGUCAGCACUUACAUUAAGAAAAUUGGCUACAACCCCGACACAGUAGCAUUUGUGCCAAUUUCUGGUUGGAAUGUUGACAACAUGCUGGAGCCAAGUGCUAACAUGCCUUGGUUGAAGGGUUGGAAAGUCACCAGUAAGGGUGGCAAAGCCAGUGGGACCAUGCUACUUGAGGCUCUGGACUGCAUUCUACCACCAACUCAUCCAACUGACAAGCCCUUGCGCCUGCCUGUCCAGGAUGUCUAUAAAAUUGGUGGUAUUGGUACUGUUCCUCUUGGCCAAGUGGAGACUGGUGUUCUCAAACCUGGUAUGGUGGUCACCUUUGCUCCAGUCAACGUUACAACUGAAGUGAAAUCUGUUGAAAUGCACCAUGAAGCUUUGAGUGAAGCUCUUCCUGGGGACAAUGUGGGCUUCAAUGUCAAGAAUGUGUCUGUCAAGGAUGUUCAUCAUGGCAACGUUGCUGGUGACAGCAAGAACGACCCACCAAUGGAAGCAGCUGGCUUCACUGCUCAGGUGAUUAUCCUGAACCAUCCAGGCCACCUUUGGCUUGCUCGGGAAGUUCAUAUGCAGAACAUUUUACCUAUACAGGUAUUGAUCGACUUACCACCUAUGCAACUUAUGACCAUUCGACUUUACGACCACAAUCGCUAG